Molecule: long non-coding RNA, 385 nt
Filed under: Physcomitrium patens
Lineage: Eukaryota; Viridiplantae; Streptophyta; Bryopsida; Funariales; Funariaceae
Description: long non-coding RNA (PPAT_LNC011843)
Source: RNAcentral
ACAAAUGUUACCAAAAAUACUUCAAAAUUAUAUAAUAUAAGAAUUUUUUUUUCAAAUAAUGAGGCGAAUUAAGAUAAAGUUUGACUCAAAAGCAAGGUUCUAACCAAACCAACACGAGAUGCUUCAAUGGAAUGUUAUUAAAGUUGAAGCAAGGUAAUUAUUCAUAAUUAGUUUAUAUAGCCACAAAAUUUUGAGCGGGUACUAUGAAACUUUUUGGGAAGGCUGAUCAUUUGUUCUUUUAUUAUUGUUGUUGUCAGAUCAUUGCCUUGAGUAGAUGUACCUCUCAUAUUUAAAGUAAAUAUUGUUGUUUAAGAAUUUGAAACCUUUGUUGCAAUUUGAUGUGUUGAUUGAAGCACUUCGAUUCUUUGAUCAAUAUAUGUAGUCA